GAUGAAGAACGUAUCGAAAGCGCGAAACGUAAUGUGAAUUGCAGAAUUCAGUGAAUCAUCGAAUCUUUGAACGCACAUUGCGCCCCCUGGUAUUCCGGGGGGCAUGCCUGUCCGAGCGUCAUUACAACCCUCAAGCUCAGCUUGGUAUUGGGCCCCGCCGCUCCGGCGGGCCCUAAAGUCAGUGGCGGUGCCGUCCGGCUCCGAGCGUAGUAAUUCUUCUCGCUCUGGAGGUCCGGUCGUGUGCUCGCCAGCAACCCCCAAUUUUUUUCAGGUUGACCUCGGAUCAGGUAGGGAUACCCGCUGAACUUAAGCAUAUCAAUAAGCGGAGGA
This 330-nucleotide unclassified non-coding RNA is filed under the name soil metagenome. Its description in RNAcentral is "partial contains 5.8S ribosomal RNA, internal transcribed spacer 2, and large subunit ribosomal RNA". The stretch from base 1 to 121 matches the Rfam family "5.8S ribosomal RNA", at positions 35 to 154 of the family's 154-position model. The record is from RNAcentral.